RNAcentral lists this ribosomal RNA (466 nucleotides) under uncultured bacterium. RNAcentral's name for it is "partial 16S ribosomal RNA". It matches the Rfam family "Bacterial small subunit ribosomal RNA", at positions 28 to 507 of the family's 1533-position model. The record is from RNAcentral.
GAUGAACGCUGGCGGCGUGCUUAACACAUGCAAGUCGAACGGUGAAGCCAAGCUUGCUUGGUGGAUCAGUGGCGAACGGGUGAGUAACACGUGAGCAACCUGCCCUGGACUCUGGGAUAAGCGCUGGAAACGGCGUCUAAUACUGGAUAUGAGCCUCUUCCGCAUGGUGGGGGUUGGAAAGAUUUUUUGGUCUGGGAUGGGCUCGCGGCCUAUCAGCUUGUUGGUGAGGUAAUGGCUCACCAAGGCGUCGACGGGUAGCCGGCCUGAGAGGGUGACCGGCCACACUGGGACUGAGACACGGCCCAGACUCCUACGGGAGGCAGCAGUGGGGAAUAUUGCACAAUGGGCGAAAGCCUGAUGCAGCAACGCCGCGUGAGGGAUGACGGCCUUCGGGUUGUAAACCUCUUUUAGCGGGGAAGAAGCGAAAGUGACGGUACCUGCAGAAAAAGCGCCGGCUAACUACGUG